GACGAACGCUGGCGGCGUGCUUAACACAUGCAAGUCGAACGGAAAGGCCCUGCUUUUGUGGGGUGCUCGAGUGGCGAACGGGUGAGUAACACGUGAGUAACCUGCCCUUGACUUUGGGAUAACUUCAGGAAACUGGGGCUAAUACCGGAUAGGAGCUCCUGCUGCAUGGUGGGGGUUGGAAAGUUUCGGCGGUUGGGGAUGGACUCGCGGCUUAUCAGCUUGUUGGUGGGGUAGUGGUUUACCAAGGCUUUGACGGGUAGCCGGCCUGAGAGGGUGACCGGCCACAUUGGGACUGAGAUACGGCCCAGACUCCUACGGGAGGCAGCAGUGGGGAAUAUUGCACAAUGGGGGGAAGCCUGGUGCAGCAACGCCGCGUGCGGGGUGACGGCCUUCGGGUUGUGAACCGCUUUCGCCUGUGACGAAGCGUGAGUGACGGUAAUGGGUAGGUAAGCACCGGCUAGCUACGUG
Molecule: ribosomal RNA, 468 nt
Filed under: uncultured bacterium
Lineage: Bacteria
Description: partial 16S ribosomal RNA
Rfam family: Bacterial small subunit ribosomal RNA
Source: RNAcentral